CUCAGCUGAUAUCUGAAAAGGACCAUGUCUCCAUUGAAAACCUUUCUGAGGAAUCUCUCAUCUCCAGAGAAGAGCUGGUUUUUGAAGAGGAUGAUAUGACCAAAUCUACCAGGAGACCAAAGCGUCAAAGGCCCGAGCUGCUUCACCCCAUCCCCCAGGAGGACAGUAUCAGAAAUGCUGCCUCUCAGCCAGAAGAGACUACAGAACUCACUCCCAGGGCUGCAACCACCUCAGAGGGAAAACUGGCCAAGCUCGGCCAUAAAAUCGGGAAGAAUCUGGACAAAACUGUAAAAGAAACCAUGAGCUAUCUGAAAAACCUACUCCCUCAUGCCUAUGAAGUCAUAAGGCCCUAAUGAUAAUAAGGCCCAGUCCCGGCCAAAGCUGGUGUCUACAGCACCAAAACCCUCCUUGCCCCGACCACCAUCUCUCAGCUCCCCACGUCCCUUAUUAAAGCGUUGCAUCCCA
Long non-coding RNA from Prionailurus viverrinus (fishing cat), 465 nucleotides. RefSeq lists it as uncharacterized. NCBI's taxonomy places the organism in Eukaryota, Metazoa, Chordata, Mammalia, Carnivora, Felidae. The transcript is spliced from 2 exons. The record is from RefSeq and is a predicted model, not a curated record.